This 523-nucleotide small RNA is filed under the name Mycoplasmoides pneumoniae M129. RNAcentral's name for it is "Mycoplasma pneumoniae M129 ncRNA". Lineage: Bacteria; Bacillati; Mycoplasmatota; Mycoplasmoidales; Mycoplasmoidaceae. The record is from RNAcentral.
AAUUCCUCAAAACUUUUUAGUUAAAUAAAAAACUUUUUUAAAAAUUUUUAAAAGCUUUUUACUUCAAAAUUACAAACCAGGAAACCUAAAAAUUAAGUGAUUUUGAAGUUUUCAAGCACGUCUUUUCCAAAAAAAGCAAAAUGGAUCAACAUUUAAUUCAUCUAUCUUCGUUAUGUGUAAGAGUAAAGUUUUAUCUAAAACAAGUCUAGGAGCUUUAUUUAUUUUGUGCGAUACAGCUUUAAGUGCUUGUUCCAAUGUCAAAUCAGAGAUAUACAGUUUGAUUAAAACAAUACUAACGAAGAUUUAAAUUGGUCUGAAGAAAUUGAAACAGAAACAGGCCAUACAAAUCUAGUUAAAUCUUUAAAAACUUCUUAUGAAAAGAUCCCGAUAAAACUACCAAAUGCAACAAUAGUUUUAAUUUGGAACACGGAGAAAUAAUUCUUUAUGGAACAUCAAGUUGGGAAUAUAUUGGUCAAAGUAAUGCGGACAGAGAAGAGUUUGAAAAUCAUUUCGAUGAUCGAAC